GCCAGACUCCUACGGGAGGCAGCAGUGAGGAAUAUUGGUCAAUGGGCGAGAGCCUGAACCAGCCAAGUCGCGUGAGGGAGUACUGCCCUAUGAGUUGUAAACCUCUUUUGUCGGGGAGCAAAAGCCGGACGUGUCCGUCUGUGAGAGUACCCGAAGAAAAAGCAUCGGCUAACUCCGUGCCAGCAGCCGCGGUAAUACGGAGGAUGCGAGCGUUAUCCGGAUUUAUUGGGUUUAAAGGGUGCGCAGGCGGAUUUUUAAGUCAGGGGUCAAAUCGUGGGGCUCAACCCCAUCCAGCCGUUGAAACUGGGGAUCUAGAGUGUGCGAGAGGUAUGCGGAAUGCGUGGUGUAGCGGUGAAAUGCACAGAUAUCACGCAGAACCCCGAUUGCGAAGGCAGCAUACCGGUGCACAACUGACGCUCAUGCACGAAAGUGUGGGUAUCGAACAGGAUUAGAUACCCGGG
RNAcentral lists this ribosomal RNA (461 nucleotides) under uncultured bacterium. Its description in RNAcentral is "bacterial SSU rRNA". It matches the Rfam family "Bacterial small subunit ribosomal RNA", at positions 330 to 790 of the family's 1533-position model. The record is from RNAcentral.